Molecule: long non-coding RNA, 4717 nt
Organism: Dreissena polymorpha
Lineage: Eukaryota; Metazoa; Mollusca; Bivalvia; Myida; Dreissenidae
Exons: 2
Source: RefSeq, a predicted model, not a curated record
UGGGUCUACGCUGUUUGCAAUGUCCUUUUUUCAGGACGCUAGGCAUGAAUGGGUUAAACUUUUCCUAAAGUUGCAACUGUCACAGCAGCAACUGUACUUUCCUUGAUACCCUGUCAAGGUGAAGUAGGACUUUGUAAUCACUGGUGCUGUGUCCCAAACAUUUCAGAUCUCUCCACACAUUCAAAAUAGUCUAUUUUAUUAUUAAUUAAUUAUGCCCCACUUCUAAGAUGCUGGGGUGUAUCACUUUGCACCUCUUCGUUAGUUGGUAGGCGGGUUGGUAUGUUGACCAUUGGUUGUCAGGCAAUAAGUAGAGAACAUAGCUUUGAUUUAUGACCUUUGACCUAUAACAAUGCUUAUCAGUAUGAUGGUUUUUGAGAGGAAACAAAAAUGCUUACUGAUUUUGAGGUCAACAGAUCAAAUGUCAAGAUCAUGAUCUUUAGAGAAUGCUUCACUUAAGAUCGUGCAAAUGUGUAUACAUGUAGUGGUUACUUGUGAGAAAGAACAGACGUUUAUGGCAAUUGAGGUCUCCUGGUCAUGGAUCAUGGUAAGAGGAGUUUAACAAGAAAUUUGUUUCCCCUCUAGAUUUUGAGAAUGUUUUGACCUACAAUCUGGCAAAGGUUAAUAGUGGUUGCAUUGGAAAAAAAGAGGACGCAUUUUGAUUUUGGUGAUUACUAGGUUUAAGAUCAAGGUCAAAUGAGCUUGUAUCAAGAGACUUUUUACUGCAUGAUAUCCAGGGAACACUUUUGCCUGCCAUAUUCUUAACCCAUUUAUGCCUAGCGUCUAGAAAAAAGGCCUUGGCAAACAGCGUAGACCCAGAUGAGUCGCCGUAUCAUGCGGCGUCUCAUCUGGGUCUGCGCUGUUUGCUUAAAGGAAUUUCUGUAAGAAAUAUUCUAAAUAUAGAAAUAAAUAUACUAGACAUCCCUAAUUUUGGAGAUAAAUUUAUCCAAUUUAGAAAGAUGGGAGAGUCCACUAGGCUUAAAUGGGUUAAUCUGUAUUCUGGUUAUUUGGGAGGAUAGAAAGACGCCCAUUGAUUUUGAGGUCAACAGACCAAAGGUAAAGAUCACAGGGGCUUGUAACAGGCAACUCUUUUCCAUACAAUACCUCAAGAAUGCUUUGACCUAAGAUCAUGAAAAUUGAAAAAGUGAUAACUUUGGUUGAAAGGAAGAUUAAGUUUGAAAAGAUGAAGGUUGUAUGUGCUUGUAUCAUGCUAUUGGUUUCUUCACAAUAUCUAGAGACUGCUUUGAUUAUUAUCAACUUAAUUGGUAUGCUGGGUACUUGGUAGGAAAGAAAGAUGCCUAUAGAUUUUAAGGUCACCAUGUCAAAGAUCAAGGGCAGACAUCAAGAAAAUGUUUAGGAUGAGAUAAAUUAGUUUGCUGGUCAGUGUUGAUGAAAGAUAACUCCUCGUGAUUUUUAAAUCAAGAUAACGAAGGUCAAGGUUACAAGGACAAUUUUGCUGCAAUUUGGGGGACAUACAUUUUGCAAAUAUCUUUUGUUUGUGUUUUAUGUUGUUCAAAACUGUCUUAAAAAUAUCUUGCCUGGAGAACCAAUUGUUAUUUCCUCCUUUAUGGACAAAAAGACUGUUUUGUUACUUUAAAUGUUUCAAAUUUUACAAGAUGUGUAAGAUAAGAAAGACAAAGUAUAUUUACACUAUAUAUUUUAUUUCACUGAUCACUAUUUAUUAAAUGUUUGGAAGAUCAUAAUUGUUGCAUUUACUUGUUAUGUCCCUGCCAAGCAUAUUUACUUCAUCUAGCACAAACACUGCCUGCUGCACAGGCUGAUCUGAUAUGACACUUUAUGCACAUGGCAGUAUGCCUAGUUUUCCCAGAACAAGACUCGUUAGUAAAAUGCCAUGUGAAUGUGGAGUAAGGGCCCGGGAUUGUAUUAUCCACAUAUAUUGUUGUCCCAAUGAUAUCUUGGAUGAGUUGGAAAACAGUAAUAAUUUGCAUAACUAAAUUAUUCAUUAUGCCCCCCUUCGAAGAAGAUGGGGUAUAUUGUUUUGCAAAUGUCGGUCCGUCCGUCCGUAUGUCCAUCCACCAGAUGGUUUCCGGAUGAUAACUCAAGAACGCUUAGGCCUAGGAUCAUGAAACUUCAUAGGUACAUUGAUCAUGACUCGCAGAUGACCCCUAUUGAUUUUGAAGUCACUAGGUCAAGGUCAUGGUGACCCGAAAUGUUAAAAUGGUUUCUGGAUAACUCAAGACCGCUUAUUCCUAGGAUCAUGAAACUUCAUAGGUACAUUGAUCAUGACUCGAAGAUGACCCCUAUUGAUUUUCAGGUCACUAGGUCAAAGAUCAAGGUCACGGUGACCCGAAAUAGUAAAAUGGUUUCCAGGAGAUAACUCAAGAACGCUUAUGCCUAGGAUCAUGAAACUUCAUAGGUACAUUGAUCAUGACUCGCAGAUGACACCUAUUGAUUUUCAGGUCACUAGGUCAAAGGUCAAGGUCACGGUGACCCGAAAUAGUAAAAUGGUGUCCGGAUGAUAACUCAAGAACGCUUAUGCCUAGGAUCAUGAAACUUCAUAGGUACAUUGGUCAUGACUGGCAGAUGACCCCUAUUGAUUUUCAGGUCACUAGGUCAAGGUCACGGUGACCCGAAAUAGUAAAAUGGUUUCUGGAUGAUAACUCAAGAAUGUUUAUGCCUAGGAUUAUGAAACUUCAUAGGUACAUUGAUCAUGACUCGCAGAUGACCCCUCAGGUCACUAGGUCAAAGGAAGGUCAAGGUCACGGUUACUCAACUUAGAAAAAUGGUUUCCGGAUGAUAACUCAAGAACGCUUACGCCUAGGAUCAUGAAACUUCAUAGGUACAUUGAUCAUGACUCGCAGAUGACCCCUAUUGACUUUCAGGUCAGUAGGUCAAAGGUCACGGUGACUUGACACAGUAAAAUGGUUUCCGGAUGAUUACUCAAGAUUGCUUAUGCCUAGGAUCAUAAAACUUCAUAGGUACAUUGAUCAUGACUCGCAGAUGACCCCUAUUGAUUUUCAGGUCACUAGGUCAAAGGUCAAGGUCACAGUGCCAAAAAACGUAUUCACAUAAUGGCUGCCACUACAACUGACAACCCAUAUGGGGGGCAUGCAUGUUUUACAAACAGCCCUUGUUUAUUUCUGAAUAUAUGGUGAUAUUUUGAAUCUUGAUAUGACUGUAGAAUAUUGACUGUUUUUACAUUUCAUACCAAAUAGCCUUCAACAUAUUUGCCUGUGCAAUCUGGGUGACAUGCCAAGUAAUGGUAAAAGGUCAUAAUCAAGGACAAUAUUUAAGACAAGCUUUUCUAGGGCCAAAUGUUUCCUUUGACCCCAAAGUGUAACCUUGACCUUUGACGUAUUUUAUGUUAAAGUUGUCUUUUCAUUGGUGAUCAAAAGUUCUUUUACGAGUAUACAAAGCUCUGACAGGCACAUACACUUGAUCAUUGUGAUCUCUAUCUUAAGCUUUCUGCAGCAGGCUGGACAAAAAUUAUGUCAUUUUUAUGCAUGAGAUAUCUAUAUAUCAGCAUUUCUGAAAUAGAGGUUAUAUUACACCAUAUUUAUAUAUUUCAACAAUGCACGUUUGAUGACAGGUUAACAAAGUUAUACCUUUCAGGCACAGAUGUGCACACAUGCAUGUUUUGAAUUUUAUUACUUUGAUUACCAAUUAUGUUUAAAGAGUAAACCACAAACGACAAGUAACAAUUCAUAAUUUAUUAUAUGUAUAAUUCAACAAUGUCAUGUAACCAAUAUAAGCUACAUUAAUUAGAUUAUGUAUAACUAACAACAGAAUAUAUUGAUAUAAAAUAAAAAUAUAGUAGCCUAUACAGCAGCAGUAUUUAUUCUAAAAAAGUAUUUGCGAAAUACAUGCACACAUAUGAGCCUUGUUCUGGGAAAACUGGGCUUAAUGCAUGUGUGUAGUGUCAUCUGAGCUCUGCAGUCAGCACAGGCUUAUCAGGGAGGACACUGCGAUUGUAUGUUUUUUCGUUUAUAAAAGUCUCUUGUCAACCAAAAUCCAGUGCAGGCGGAGAGAUGCAUUAAAUCCAGUUUUUAACGAACAAGGCUCAUAUAAUAAGUAAAUUAAUACAGAAGAGUUCUCAAAUUCAAUUGCUCAACACAAAUUUGAAUAAGGACAAGUUCACUUAAAGUAUGAAAAUAAAGAAUGUAUUACAAGUAAUGAUCCCAUUCGAAAAUAAACAAGCACAUUCGUUGAAUUGAUAUCCCCCGCCAAUAUGCUUCUGGACACAAAAGUGUUAUAUUUGACACUCAAAAAAAGCAUUUUUUCAAGAUACAGAGGGCCAUAACUCCGUUAUUAACAGAUGGUGUACAAUGCAAUUUGGCGUGCAUCAUCCUCUUAUCCAUAUAUAUAUACUCAUACCAAGUUUCAAUGAAAUCCGCCAAAGCACUUCCAAGAUAUGGCUCCAUACGGACGGAAAGACAGACGGAAGGACGGACAGACAACGCCAAAACAAUAUCCCUCCGCCUAUGGCAGGGGAUAAUAAUGUUAAACAUGUUAUUUGCAUAAACAAUUAAAGCAAAGGCACUAUGGUGCCCAAAACAAGCACAUUGAGUUGAUUGACUGUCUCUAAAAACAUAUUAAGACAAUUUCAUAGUUCUAUCUGCAAUUAUGACUUUAUAUGCUUCUCAUAAAACCCGCUUCUUACUUUGAUUGCAUUUGUUACUGAACAUUUAUUUCUAGUUGAUUAUCAAAAUUUUGCCCUAACAAGAGCAUCGCAUAGCAGGUGCCAACGCUUGGCUACGGG